Long non-coding RNA from Sycon ciliatum, 1465 nucleotides. RefSeq lists it as uncharacterized. The transcript is spliced from 2 exons. The record is from RefSeq and is a predicted model, not a curated record. Lineage: Eukaryota; Metazoa; Porifera; Calcarea; Leucosolenida; Sycettidae.
UACAUGCUGCUGCGCUGCUUUGUUGUUGACACGCGCACCUUUUUGUGCUGAGUACACCACCUUUUGUGCUGACGAGGGCACCAAUUUCUGAUAUCAUGUUUUCCUUUUGCCAUGUCGUCGUCAGUUGUCCGACGUUCGUCGUCAGUUGUCAGUCAUUCGUUGUCAGAGUCAGACGUUUGUUGACAGUCGUCAGUCAUUCGUUGUCAGUGUUAGUUCUCCAUUAUGAGUUCUUCCGUCGCCGCUUGAAGUAAACUAUGAAAAGCUCUCUCUCUAGCUCUAGAGAAAAACCACUGACUAGUUCGUUUUGAGGUGUGGCGUGGCGAGGAUAGAAGAGGCAGUUCGUUCUCAACCUUCCGAGACGACAUUUGGCGCCCAACUAAUCGAACCCACGACCCUGAAGCUCGUCGCUCCCCGGCCGGUGUUUUUCGUUUUCCUCUUCGCGUUCUCGCCAUGGCUCCGCUUUGCUGCGUCUGUUCAACCCUUUCCUAGAUCCUCGGAGCUCCUACUCAGUUUCUGUAGCGCCAUCGGUUUUCGGACAGCCGGCCAGUGUGCGUCCUGCUGCCCCAGUCUUCUUCUCGGUCGGUGCGUGCUGUCGGUCUCGCCGCUCCUGGAAGCGUCGCUGGGUCCGUCGGCAUAACCUGUUUUCUCAUGCAUUUGUACUUUUGUUUUGUCAUGACUGGUGGAUGGGUGGCGUACUAGGUUGGUGCUGUUCUAAGAAUAAAAGAUCCAAAGGGACAAACACAGGUCGAACAGCUCGCCAGCCGGGGUCCUUUGCAAAAUCUGUUGCUUGCAGGUUCCGUUGAUUGGUGCACAGUUUUGCGGGGCUCCCGACUGGUGUUAACCCUCCUGGCCUACUCGUCAUGCAUUCAACAGUUGUGGCCCACCUCUUUUGUGUUUUAUUGUCGCCUGUUUAUGUUGCUUCAUAUUUCAUUUCCCCUGUCUUUCUGUCUUCUUCUCCGGUCUGUCUUCUUCCGUUUUUUAUACACUUCACUUUUGCUUCCAUCCACAGGAGUGGAUGUCUUUUUUUGGUAGGGGAUAGUGUUGUACCUGCGCCUGCACGUGUUAUCUCUUCGUCGUAGCUGCUGCUGUAUUUGUGUCUUUGUGUGUACAUGUGGCUGCACGUGUUGUCUCUUCGUCGUAGCUGCUGCUGUAUUUGUGUCUGUGCUGCUGACCCGUACAUGCUGCUGCGCUGCUUUGUUGUUGACACGCGCACCUUUUUGUGCUGAGUACACCACCUUUUGUGCUGACGAGGGCACCAAUUUCUGAUAUCAUGUUUUCCUUUUGCCAUGUCGUCGUCAGUUGUCCGACGUUCGUCGUCAGUUGUCAGUCAUUCGUUGUCAGAGUCAGACGUUUGUUGACAGUCGUCAGUCAUUCGUUGUCAGUGUUAGUUCUCCAUUAUGAGUUCUUCCGUCGCCGCUUGAAGUAAACUAUGAAAAGCUCUCUCUCUAGCUCUAGAGAAAAACCA